This is a non-coding RNA of Ceratotherium simum simum (southern white rhinoceros), 112 nucleotides long. The record is from RefSeq and is a predicted model, not a curated record. Lineage: Eukaryota; Metazoa; Chordata; Mammalia; Perissodactyla; Rhinocerotidae.
CAGGACUGGCUGGCUCAUAUUGCCAUUCUGUAGACAAUGCCUCAGCAGAAAUAAUGUACAUUUUAGGGUUUUGAUGGACCCAUUAAUUGCAGUCAUUCUGCUAUUGCUGGGG